RNA transcript from Salvelinus namaycush (lake trout), 2102 nucleotides. It is a transcript of the gene named rab-like protein 2A, with no coding region annotated. Lineage: Eukaryota; Metazoa; Chordata; Actinopteri; Salmoniformes; Salmonidae. The record is from RefSeq and is a predicted model, not a curated record. The transcript is spliced from 8 exons.
AAUAGGAACAGCUUCGUACAAAAAAGGGGGCCUUUAAGCGUCUGCGUUGCAUAGAAACAGAAAUUAUCCGAAGGAAGCUGUUGCUACAAAAACAUGAAGAUGCUAACCACAACGUUUUGAAAACGAGCGUUUUGCCAACGAUAACGUUUUUCUACUUAUUUUGCUAGACUACUGACCGCUAAAGCAGGUUGCUAGAUAUAGCAUUAUAUCAGGGACAUAGCAAUAUCCCCGACUGUGUGUUAUGUAAGCUACCCUAACAAGUAGCCACUGCACUGGCUAGGCUAACGUUACUGUAGAUAGCUAACCAACGUCGGGUUGAAAACAUGCCCGUUUCGACAGCUAGCUAAUAAGUUAACUUAGACAUGACUUCGAAUGGGUUUCGGUCAUAUUUUAAGUGAAUGCAUGCAAAUAUGUGUAGCUAUAUCUAGUUAGUUAGCUAACGUUAAGCGGUUACUUGCCGUUAAUCACAGACUAAGUGCAUUUCUUUUGCUAGCUAACUUCUAGCCACGUACUUUACUGUAACUAGCUAACGUUAGUUUACGUUCGCUAACUAGCUAAGCUGCUGUGAGACGCAGCUCAUUUCCCCUUCCUAAAGGUAGAAUGGCAGGCGACGCCAGUGGCAUUCCUGAACUGGACCAAGAUAAAUAUGAUGCAGAUGAAGAAGUCAAGAUAAUCUUCCUUGGAGACAGUGCAGUGGGAAAAUCCAAGUUGAUGGAGAGGUUUCUGAUAGACGGAUACUGUCAACCUAUGCCCUGACGCUCUACAAAUACACUACCACCAUCGACAGCAAGGCUGUAUUAGUAGACUUCUGGGAUACGGCCGGACAGGAGAGGUUCCAGAGCAUGCAUCCCUCGUACUACCAUAAGGAUCACGCCUGUAUCAUGGUAAGACUUCACACUAGCUGCUAAGAUAACAACAUUACUUCAAGGCUCAUACUUAUGUCAUAGCUUGUAUCAUUAACUGUACUUGUCUUUGUCAGGUGUUUGAUGUGCAGAGGAAGAUCACUUAUAAGAACCUGACCAGCUGCUGAUAUGAAGGUGACCCAGAGAAAAUGUAACUUUGCCAAGAAGCAGGGGCUUCCUUUGUACUUUGUAUCUGCUGCUGAUGGGACCAACGUAGUCAAGAUGUUCAAAGAAACAAUCAAAAUGGCAAUGUCUUACAAGCAGAACUCUAGUGACUUCAUGGAUGAAGUAAUGCGGGAGCCGGAGGCUCUGCUCUUCAAGGUUGCUCCCCACCCAAGGAAAUGCUCAGAACUUUGAGCUGGAGCAGAAGAAGGAGUCGUCGUUAGAGAUGGCUGAGGGACUGAAACCAGAGAGCCCUGAGUCUGUCUGUCUGGCUGGAUGUUGAUGUGGAUACAUUACCCUCACAUUAUGGACACAUUAUCUUUACAUUAUACUGGCAUUGUGAAUAUGAGAGCUGUUUCUGACUGCACCGCACCUAUGGAUGCUGUGGAUAUGUUAUCCUAAAUGUGUUGACAUGAUACCUCUUUACCAUGGGAGAGCUGUGCUCCAGAGUCUGUAACUGAUGUUGUGGAUAUGUUAUAUUCACAUUAUUCUCACAUUGUGGACAUGUUGUCCUUACAUCCUCAUGUUUGUAUUUUUUGUUUUAUGUUAUGCCAUGGAAGAGACAUGCUUUUAUGGGGCUGAUGCUGCAGAAAAUGUUAACCUAUGAGCCAUAUAAUAGUAGUGACCUGUGAGAGCUGGGGCAUUCUAUUGAUGUGAGAACAAACAUAUUGUAGGAUAGAUGUUGUGGCAGGCAUGGUGAACGUGUGCCAAAGUGUGUGACGCAGGCUGUUUGAGGUUAAUCUAGAAUGUGAUGCCUUGUAAAAUGUGGGACACACUCUAUACCUAUAAUCCCUAUUCUUGCUAUUUUAUGAUAGCAAAGUGAAACUGUGAAUGUGAACUCUGCUACUUUGUCAUCAGCUUUCGCCCUCUUAUGCCUUUAUCAUACGUGGCAUGUGUAUGGCGAUUUGUACAAUGUGAUAGUAAAGUACAUGUAUGUAAAGGCUGCUAUUGUUGCUCAAGUGCUACAGUGUAAAGCCAGAGCUUUUAUAGGUCAUGCCUUUAAUGUAUCUUAAACAAUGAAUGUACCUUGUAACCAUG